GAUGAACGCUGGCGGCGUGCUUAACACAUGCAAGUCGAACGGUGAACGAGGGAGCUUGCUCCCUCCGGAUCAGUGGCGAACGGGUGAGUAACACGUGAGCAAUCUGCCCUGGACUCUGGGAUAAGCGUUGGAAACGACGUCUAAUACCGGAUACGAGACGCGAAGGCAUCUUCAGCGUCUGGAACGAACUUCGGUCCAGGAUGAGCUCGCGGCCUAUCAGGUAGUUGGUGAGGUAACGGCUCACCAAGCCUACGACGGGUAGCCGGCCUGAGAGGGUGACCGGCCACACUGGGACUGAGACACGGCCCAGACUCCUACGGGAGGCAGCAGUGGGGAAUAUUGCACAAUGGGCGCAAGCCUGAUGCAGCAACGCCGCGUGAGGGACGACGGCCUUCGGGUUGUAAACCUCUUUUAGCAGGGAAGAAGCGAAAGUGACGGUACCUGCAGAAAAAGCACCGGCUAACUACGUGCCAGCCGCCGCCGUAA
Molecule: ribosomal RNA, 486 nt
Filed under: uncultured bacterium
Lineage: Bacteria
Description: partial 16S ribosomal RNA
Rfam family: Bacterial small subunit ribosomal RNA
Source: RNAcentral